GUCUAAGGCCAUAUCACCCUGAAUGUGCCCAAUCUCAUCUGGUCUCAAAAGUCAAACAGGGUCAGGCCUGGUUAGUACUUGGAAGUAGAGAUUGCUCUGAGACAAGCAGUUUGGAGA
Molecule: ribosomal RNA, 117 nt
Filed under: Castor canadensis (American beaver)
Lineage: Eukaryota; Metazoa; Chordata; Mammalia; Rodentia; Castoridae
Source: RNAcentral